Molecule: unclassified non-coding RNA, 241 nt
Filed under: uncultured fungus
Lineage: Eukaryota; Fungi
Also listed under: 1 other name
Description: partial contains 5.8S ribosomal RNA, internal transcribed spacer 2, and large subunit ribosomal RNA
Source: RNAcentral
AACGCACAUUGCGCCCCUUGGUAUUCCGGGGGGCAUGCCUGUUCGAGCGUCAUUACAACCCUCAAGCUCUGCUUGGUCUUGGGCGUCACCGGUCCCCGGUGUGCCUUAAAAUCAGUGGCGGCGCCAUCUGGCUCUAAGCGUAGUACAUACUCUCGCUACAGACGUCCGGUGGAUGCUGGCCAGCAACCCCCAAUUUAUCAAGGUUGACCUCGGAUCAGGUAGGGAUACCCGCUGAACUUAA